Long non-coding RNA from Pieris rapae (cabbage white), 621 nucleotides. RefSeq lists it as uncharacterized. Lineage: Eukaryota; Metazoa; Arthropoda; Insecta; Lepidoptera; Pieridae. The record is from RefSeq and is a predicted model, not a curated record. The transcript is spliced from 4 exons.
CAACUUGUGGACAUAGGCUCUGGUAGAGUGGUAGUCUGUACUCUGUAGAUGCUUUUCAUGGCUGUCCUAAUCUGUCUCAGUUGUAUGUUAUAACCUCGUGUAAAAAAUUAAAGAUAGUGAUUUAGAUUAAUAUUUUCCUUUGAAUAGACUUACAUAAUUUGAUCAUUCAAUUCGUGUGCAAUAUUUUUGAAUGCCGCUCAAAACAAACUGCAGCGAUUUCCAACAGCAAGGGAUCCCUUCGUAGAAGACUAUGAUAGAGGGAGAAGAAAAGCGGCAGUGUUUCUUCAGACUUUCUUUCGGCGCCAGUUUUACAGGAACUAUAUUUGCAGAUUUUUGAAUGCCGCUCAAAACAAACUGCAGCGACUUCCAACAGCAAGGGAUCCCUUCGUAGAAGACUAUGAUGGAGGGAGAAGAAAAGCGGCAGUGUUUCUUCAGACUUUCUUUCGCCGCCAGUUUUACAGGAACUAUAUUUGCAGUCAAAUGACAGUGCAUCCAGUGUUUCGUCCCCUUCAGAUUCUCCCCUAUCGGGAGCUUCGCCUUCCAGCAAUUCGGCGCCAUAUGGAUUUAUUAUUAUUAACAGUUGUUUUAUUUAAAAAUAAAGUAAAACAACUGUUAAUGUCC